UACGUAGGGGGCGAGCGUUAUCCGGAUUCACUGGGUGUAAAGGGAGCGUAGACGGCCAUGCAAGCCAGGGGUGAAAGCCCGGGGCCCAACCCCGGGACUGCCCUUGGAACUGCAUGGCUGGAGUGCGGGAGGGGCAGGCGGAAUUCCUGGUGUAGCGGUGAAAUGCGUAGAUAUCAGGAGGAACACUGGCGGCGAAGGCGGCCUGCUGGACCGCGACUGACGUUGAGGCUCGAAAGCGUGGGGAGCGAACAGG
This 253-nucleotide ribosomal RNA is filed under the name uncultured bacterium. RNAcentral's name for it is "partial 16S ribosomal RNA". It matches the Rfam family "Bacterial small subunit ribosomal RNA", at positions 524 to 776 of the family's 1533-position model. The record is from RNAcentral.